GGCGGCGCGCCUAACACAUGCAAGUCGAACGGAGUUUUUGAAUUGAUUCUUUCGGGAUGAUUUUGGAAAACUUAGUGGCGAACGGGUGAGUAACGCGUGGGUAACCUGCCCUGGAGUGGGGACAACAGUUGGAAACGACUGCUAAUACCGCAUAAGCCCACAGUACCGCAUGGUACAGAGGGAAAAGGAGCAAUUCGCUUCAGGAUGGACCCGCGUCUGAUUAGCUAGUUGGUGGGGUAACGGCCUACCAAGGCGACGAUCAGUAGCCGGACUGAGAGGUUGAUCGGCCACAUUGGGACUGAGAUACGGCCCAGACUCCUACGGGAGGCAGCAGUGGGGAAUAUUGCACAAUGGGGGAAACCCUGAUGCAGCGACGCCGCGUGGAGGAAGAAGGUCUUCGGAUUGUAAACUCCUGUUGUCAAGGACGAUAAUGACGGUACUUGACAAGAAAGCCACGGCUAACUACGUG
This 469-nucleotide ribosomal RNA is filed under the name uncultured bacterium. RNAcentral's name for it is "bacterial SSU rRNA". It matches the Rfam family "Bacterial small subunit ribosomal RNA", at positions 38 to 507 of the family's 1533-position model. The record is from RNAcentral.